GGAAGAAUCAUUUCGUGCACAUACAAACAUACACUUUUGUUGUGUGUGUGUGUGUGUGUGUGUGUACAUAUUGAUAUAUUUCCA
Molecule: microRNA precursor, 84 nt
Filed under: Drosophila pseudoobscura
Lineage: Eukaryota; Metazoa; Arthropoda; Insecta; Diptera; Drosophilidae
Description: microRNA dps-mir-2505 precursor
Source: miRBase by way of RNAcentral